This is a long non-coding RNA of Panthera uncia (snow leopard), 649 nucleotides long. RefSeq lists it as uncharacterized. The record is from RefSeq and is a predicted model, not a curated record. The transcript has 2 exons. Lineage: Eukaryota; Metazoa; Chordata; Mammalia; Carnivora; Felidae.
CCAAGCGUGGAGCCCAAGGCAGGGCUUGAAUUCAGGACCCUGAGAUUAAGAGUCGGAAGCUUGACCGGCUGAGCCACCCAGGCACCAAAGGGUUUCAUUUUUGACUCACUGCUUGAUAUAAGUACAAGAGGUUCCAAGUACAAGAGCCUAGGCGAUGGCCACCCACUAAGGAUUCAGACACAUCUGAAGAGGCUAAUGGGAAGAUGUUUGGGGCCCAAUGAACAAACACCUGAGACUGAAAGCUUGCCUUCAGCAUCCUUCAGCAGUGAAAAGCCGACAUGCAGGUGCUCAAUUAGAUUGGGUAAAAAAACUUACCCUAAGAGAGCAUGAUGGUACAAACUUAAUCAGAGACACUGACUAGGGCUUGUCCAGGAGGAAUGGUUCUCAGCAUAGUAUAAGGCAAUGAUAGUUAAGUGAACUUGAACUUCUGAUUUGGCUGAAAGGAAAACCAAGCCUAAUUACAAAUGCAGGAAAAGAGAGAUACAGGAGAAGUGUAAGAAAUCUUUAAAAAACAACAAAACGUUUUAGGAGUAUUACAGACACUUGGAUAAAAGGAAGCCUUGUUUAAUGGCCUGAAGACAAGAUGAGAGAAAAGGUAUUUGUUCUCUUCUUUACUCACUUUACUAUUGUGACCCUGGAAAUGGGAAAA